GUCCAGUCAAUCUGUAAUUGUACCCACAACUAAUUGCAACAGAAAUAAUUUUUCGAUAAUAUUGUAGAUAAAUAUCACCUCUUCAACAUAUCAAAAGUCUAGCAAAGUCUAGCCAGGGCAAACUACCGAAAAAUGACUUUUAAUAUGACAGAUUUUCAUGGCCCUAAAUUACCACCGUAGAAGAUAAAAUGAUCAGAUGCACGGUAUACAAGCGUUCGCGCGAUAUGAUGUGAUCGUCUGCUUUUGAUGAAAGAUCCUAGAUUUAAGUCAUUUUGGAGAUGUUAGAUCAACAAUCAACGAUGUCAAAGGUGUGGGUUUAGAAUUUCAAAAAAAGAUGCUAAUAUGGAACUGCCAAACAAUCUGAUCAGCACCAAACCUGCUGCAGCUGCAUCGGAAAAAUGACCAAGACCAUGUUAAGUUACGCCAGAAGGAAGUGAUAGCAUAAAUGCUGCCAGCGAAGUUCGCUUGGACAAGAUUACUUCCAUACCCGGACAGACCGUUCAUACGUACAUUGUCGGAAAGAUUAUUGUAACCCAAUUCGAAUCAAGCUAUCCUUAAAUAAAAAGCCAACAAAGACUGUAUUAUCUCCACCAUUACGAUCUAACACUGAACGAUUUAACUUCAGUACAAAAUGUCUAUUUUGUGCUCAACGUGCCAAAUUUGUUGGAAGAAAACGAGGCUAUAAUGUAUACCCUGUUAGAACAGUUGAAUUUAAAAAGAACAUAGAACAAAUAUGUAUCGAUAGGGAUGACAAACAGGGUUCAGAUAUUAAGAGCAGAUUGGAAACAAUACAUGACUUAGCGGCUGCUGUUGCUAUAUACCAUUAGUCAUGCAGCGUAAAUUUUAGGACAGGUAAAAAUAUACCACAGUCAGGCAAUGAAAAAGGAAAAAAGUGUGGAAGACCAGUGAACAUGGCACAGGAAUUUGCUUUCCAGGAAAUAGCAAAGUUCCUGAUUGAAAAUGAUGACGAACAAAUAACACUAAAAGACCUUGUUGACAAAAUGGUAGAACUAUGUGGAGAACUCUCCUAUACAUUAACUCAUAUGAAGAAGAGAUUACUAGAGCAUUUUGGGUCCUCUAUUGUCAUCACAGAAUUAAAUGGAAAGCAGAAUGUAAUCACAUUUAGAAACACUGCAUCAUCAAUUCUUCAUUCAUUUUACCAAAAGUCUAGUAGCGAUUCUGAUGCUUAUAAAAUUGAAAUAAUAAAAACAGCAGCACAACUAUUGCUAACUGAUAUAAAGGAUAUUAAAGCAACAAUAACAAUGAUUUAAUAGUAACAUGUAUUUAAUGGGUGGGUGGGGUAAGUUUACCCCUAUAAAUGCACUAUUUACAUGAGUAAAUAUGUUAAGAAACUUCAUGAUACACUUAGGUAAUAGAAAAAUAAUACUGUUUUCAUAACUGAUGUAUUACUGAAUACUGUUUUUGUCGGGUGGUUUGCUCGAAAUGUGUUGUUUGAAUAGAAAAUGGAAAAUAUACUUUAUUUAAAAAAACGUCCGCGAGGGGCAUAAAUAAAAUGAAGUUUUAACAGGUUUGCCCUGGAAAUAUUU
This is a long non-coding RNA of Dreissena polymorpha, 1547 nucleotides long. RefSeq lists it as uncharacterized. The record is from RefSeq and is a predicted model, not a curated record. Lineage: Eukaryota; Metazoa; Mollusca; Bivalvia; Myida; Dreissenidae. The transcript has 4 exons.